GAGCGCUCGUAGCAAUACGGGAGCGGCAGACGGGAGAGUAACACGUGGGAACGUACCCUUCGGUUCGGAAUAACUCAGGGAAACUUGAGCUAAUACCGGAUACGUCCGUAAGGAGAAAGAUUUAUCGCCGAGGGAUCGGCCCGCGUCCGAUUAGCUAGUUGGUGAGGUAAUGGCUCACCAAGGCGACGAUCGGUAGCUGGUCUGAGAGGAUGAUCAGCCUCACUGGGACUGAGACACGGCCCAGACUCCUACGGGAGGCAGCAGUGGGGAAUAUUGGACAAUGGGCGCAAGCCUGAUCCAGCCAUGCCGCGUGGGUGAUGAAGGCCUUAGGGUUGUAAAGCCCUUUCGGCGGGGAAGAUAAUGACGGUACCCGCAGAAGAAGCCCCGACUAACUUCGUG
RNAcentral lists this ribosomal RNA (399 nucleotides) under uncultured bacterium. RNAcentral describes it as "bacterial SSU rRNA". It matches the Rfam family "Bacterial small subunit ribosomal RNA", at positions 64 to 507 of the family's 1533-position model. The record is from RNAcentral.